RNAcentral lists this ribosomal RNA (499 nucleotides) under uncultured bacterium. Its description in RNAcentral is "bacterial SSU rRNA". It matches the Rfam family "Bacterial small subunit ribosomal RNA", at positions 17 to 507 of the family's 1533-position model. The record is from RNAcentral.
UCCUGGCUCAGGAUGAACGCUAGCGACAGGCUUAACACAUGCAAGUCGAGGGGCAGCGAGGGCGUAGCAAUACGCCUGUCGGCGACCGGCGCACUGGUGAGUAACACGUAUGCGACCUGCCCCCUACAGGGGUAUAACCCGUAGAAAUGCGGACUAAUCCCCCAUAGUCCCGCGGGCUGCAUGGCCUGCGGGGGAAAGGGUUUCCGGUAGGGGAUGGGCAUGCGGCGCAUUAGGUUGUUGGCGGGGUAACGGCCCACCAAGCCCACGAUCAGUAGGGGUUCUGAGAGGAAAGUCCCCCACAUUGGAACUGAGACACGGUCCAAACUCCUACGGGAGGCAGCAGUGAGGAAUAUUGGUCAAUGGGCGGAAGCCUGAACCAGCCAAGUAGCGUGCAGGAUGACGGCCCUAUGGGUUGUAAACUGCUUUUAGGCGGGGGUAAAGGGGCGGACGUGUUCCGCCUUUGCAAGUACCGCCAGAAAAAGGACCGGCUAAUUCCGUG